GACGUAGGAUGCGAGCGUUGUCCGGAUUUAUUGGGCGUAAAGAGUUCGUAGAUGGCCUGAUAAGUUAGCAGUGGGAAAUCGAGGCUCAACCUCGUGGAAGCUGGUAAUACUGUUAGGCUAGAGUGCAGGAGAGGUUAACGGAACUCCAUGUGGAGCGGUAAAAUGUGUAGAUAUAUGGAAGAACAUCAAUAACGGCGAAGGCAGUUAACUAUUCUGUUACUGACGUUGAGGCACGAAAGCGUGGGGAGCAAAACGG
Molecule: ribosomal RNA, 256 nt
Filed under: uncultured bacterium
Lineage: Bacteria
Description: partial 16S ribosomal RNA
Rfam family: Bacterial small subunit ribosomal RNA
Source: RNAcentral